Molecule: ribosomal RNA, 429 nt
Filed under: bacterium
Lineage: Bacteria
Description: partial 16S ribosomal RNA
Rfam family: Bacterial small subunit ribosomal RNA
Source: RNAcentral
UAGGGAAUCUUCGGCAAUGGGGGCAACCCUGACCGAGCAACGCCGCGUGAGUGAAGAAGGUUUUCGGAUCGUAAAGCUCUGUUGUAAGAGAAGAACGUGUGUGAGAGUGGAAAGUUCACACAGUGACGGUAACUUACCAGAAAGGGACGGCUAACUACGUGCCAGCAGCCGCGGUAAUACGUAGGUCCCGAGCGUUGUCCGGAUUUAUUGGGCGUAAAGCGAGCGCAGGCGGUUUAAUAAGUCUGAAGUUAAAGGCAGUGGCUUAACCAUUGUUCGCUUUGGAAACUGUUAAACUUGAGUGCAGAAGGGGAGAGUGGAAUUCCAUGUGUAGCGGAGAAAUGCGUAGAUAUAUGGAGGAACACCGGUGGCGAAGGCGGCUCUCUGGUCUGUAACUGACGCUGAGGCUCGAAAGCGUGGGGAGCAAACAGG